Long non-coding RNA from Brienomyrus brachyistius, 568 nucleotides. RefSeq lists it as uncharacterized. The record is from RefSeq and is a predicted model, not a curated record. Lineage: Eukaryota; Metazoa; Chordata; Actinopteri; Osteoglossiformes; Mormyridae. The transcript has 2 exons.
ACUCUAGAUCUCUUUCCUACUCCCAUUCUGUGGGAUCACCAGAAUUUCUCUAGCAGGAAGGACUCAGAUGGAUCAGACCAUGGCUCUUGAGGGGGUCAUGUGAUAUAAAUAACAUUACCUUAUCAUUGGUUAAUCGUUUUCUAGCCACUACAUUUAAAAGUACGUUGUAUCGGGCCGGACUCGAAAUUCCAAGCCACGGCAUCAUGCACGCACACACAUCCGAAACGUCACCAGUCACGUGCUCUCAGAGAUGGCGGAACAAAGGAACAAGACCGUGGCGCGCAUUAAAAAAAUUCAACUUUAAAUCUGCGGAAGCACGUUGCAGUUCGCAGGGGACGGAACUUCGGAGCUGGUCUCGCGACUCCAUGAUGGGGAUGGGAGCUUCGGUCACGCAGUAUCAUGUGACUGAUGACGUGCGAGGCGUCCCGAGGUGUCAUAGGUUUCGAAUCCUGCCGGCUCUUCGAAACUUGUAGAGAUGGCCUGGCACAUAGGAUGCUGAGUUUCCAUUCUGUUGUUGUGAAUCGCUUUGGAUAAAAGCAUCUCCCAAAUGAAUAAAUGCAAAAUAUUA